Molecule: ribosomal RNA, 497 nt
Filed under: uncultured bacterium
Lineage: Bacteria
Description: partial 16S ribosomal RNA
Rfam family: Bacterial small subunit ribosomal RNA
Source: RNAcentral
GAUGAACGCUGGCGGCGUGCCUAAUACAUGCAAGUCGAGCGAACAGACGAGGAGCUUGCUCCUCUGACGUUAGCGGCGGAAGGGUGAGUAACACGUGGAUAACCUACCUAUAAGACUGGGAUAACUUCGGGAAACCGGAGCUAAUACCGGAUAAUAUAUUGAACCGCAUGGUUCAAUAGUGAAAGACGGUUUUGCUGUCACUUAUAGAUGGAUCCGUGCCGCAUUAGCUAGUUGGUAAGGUAACGGCUUACCAAGGCAACGAUGCGUAGCCGACCUGAGAGGGUGAUCGGCCAGACUGGAACUGAGACACGGUCCAGACUCCUACGGGAGGCAGCAGUAGGGAAUCUUCCGCAAUGGACGAAAGCUUGACGGAGCAACGCCGCGUGAGUGAUGAAGGUCUUCGGAUCGUAAAACUCUGUUAUUAGGGAAGAACAAAUGUGUAAGUAACUAUGCACGUCUUGACGGUACCUAAUCAGAAAGCCACGGCUAACUACGUG